UACGUAAGGGUGCUAGCGUUGUUCGGAAUUAUUGGGCGUAAAGAGCUUGUAGGCGGUUUGUCGCGUCUGCUGUGAAAUCUCAAGGCUCAACCUUGAGCUUGCAGUGGGUACGGGCAGACUAGAGUGCGGUAGGGGUGACUGGAAUUCCUGGUGUAGCGGUGGAAUGCGCAGAUAUCAGGAGGAACACCGAUGGCGAAGGCAGGUCACUGGGCCGCAACUGACGCUGGAGGAGCGGAAAGCAUGGGGAGCGAACAGG
RNAcentral lists this ribosomal RNA (256 nucleotides) under uncultured bacterium. RNAcentral describes it as "partial 16S ribosomal RNA". It matches the Rfam family "Bacterial small subunit ribosomal RNA", at positions 524 to 776 of the family's 1533-position model. The record is from RNAcentral.